Molecule: ribosomal RNA, 253 nt
Filed under: uncultured bacterium
Lineage: Bacteria
Description: partial 16S ribosomal RNA
Rfam family: Bacterial small subunit ribosomal RNA
Source: RNAcentral
UACGGAGGGGGCGAGUGUUGUUCGGAAUUACUGGGCGUAAAGGGCGCGCAGGCGGCAUGGCAAGUCGAGUGUGAAAUCCCUUGGCUUAACUAAGGAAUGGCGCUCGAAACUACCGCGCUAGAGGGCGGGAGAGGGAAGUGGAACUCUCGGUGUAGGGGUGAAAUGCGUAGAUAUCGGGAGGAACACCAGUGGCGAAGGCGACUACCUGGCCUGUUCUUGACGCUGAGGCGCGAAAGCUAGGGGAGCAAACGGG